GACGAACGCUGGCGGCGUGCUUAACACAUGCAAGUCGAACGGAAAGGCCCUGCUUUUGUGGGGUGCUCGAGUGGCGAACGGGUGAGUAACACGUGAGUAACCUGCCCUUGACUUUGGGAUAACUUCAGGAAACUGGGGCUAAUACCGGAUAGGAGCUCCUGAUGCAUGGUGGGGGUUGGAAAGUUUCGGCGGUUGGGGAUGGACUCGCGGCUUAUCAGCUUGUUGGUGGGGUAGUGGCUUACCAAGGCUUUGACGGGUAGCCGGCCUGAGAGGGUGACCGGCCACAUUGGGACUGAGAUACGGCCCAGACUCCUACGGGAGGCAGCAGUGGGGAAUAUUGCACAAUGGGCGGAAGCCUGAUGCAGCAACGCCGCGUGCGGGAUGACGGCCUUCGGGUUGUAAACCGCUUUCGCCUGUGACGAAGCGUGAGUGACGGUAAUGGGUAAAGAAGCACCGGCUAACUACGU
RNAcentral lists this ribosomal RNA (467 nucleotides) under uncultured bacterium. RNAcentral's name for it is "partial 16S ribosomal RNA". It matches the Rfam family "Bacterial small subunit ribosomal RNA", at positions 28 to 506 of the family's 1533-position model. The record is from RNAcentral.